This is a long non-coding RNA of Drosophila hydei, 224 nucleotides long. RefSeq lists it as uncharacterized. The record is from RefSeq and is a predicted model, not a curated record. Lineage: Eukaryota; Metazoa; Arthropoda; Insecta; Diptera; Drosophilidae. The transcript has 3 exons.
CAUUUUAAUUAGAAAAUCCAUAAAUUCUAUUUCGUGAACAACAAUAUACGACGGACGGACUUUGGAUACUAGAAACCUUAAUUAUAACCGGAUUAUCAACAUAAAAUCACCGACUUUAUGCUAGAACCAAUUGACAGAGCUUCAAUGCACGAGAUGAGCCAAUUUUUAGAAAUUAAUCAUUUGUGUGGCCCACCUGCUCGAUUUGUGUAUGCAAACCAAACCCA